Molecule: non-coding RNA, 183 nt
Organism: Vicia faba (fava bean)
Lineage: Eukaryota; Viridiplantae; Streptophyta; Magnoliopsida; Fabales; Fabaceae
Source: the annotation of a GenBank genome assembly
AUGGAUUUUGUUUUUAAAAGUUUCCAAAAAUCGCCCUGGAAUGAAAAUGAAAGGGUGUUGUGCGGAUUGUUCUUGGAAAUUUACAUGCUGCUGAGAAGUGUGUUUUGGUUUUGUUUGUGUCAAUUUGAUUUUGAUUCAGUUUCGACUAUUCAGACAUCGUGGUUUCUCUUGAGGUUGCGUUGA